Molecule: ribosomal RNA, 497 nt
Filed under: uncultured bacterium
Lineage: Bacteria
Description: partial 16S ribosomal RNA
Rfam family: Bacterial small subunit ribosomal RNA
Source: RNAcentral
GAUGAACGCUGGCGGCGUGCCUAAUACAUGCAAGUCGAGCGAACAGACGAGGAGCUUGCUCCUCUGACGUUAGCGGCGGACGGGUGAGUAACACGUGGAUAACCUACCUAUAAGACUGGGAUAACUUCGGGAAACCGGAGCUAAUACCGGAUAAUAUAUUGAACCGCAUGGUUCAAUAGUGAAAGACGGUUUUGCUGUCACUUAUAGAUGGAUCCGCGCCGCAUUAGCUAGUUGGUAAGGUAACGGCUUACCAAGGCAACGAUGCGUAGCCGACCUGAGAGGGUGAUCGGCCACACUGGAACUGAGACACGGUCCAGACUCCUACGGGAGGCAGCAGUAGGGAAUCUUCCACAAUGGGCGAAAGCCUGACGGAGCAACGCCGCGUGAGUGAUGAAGGUCUUCGGAUCGUAAAACUCUGUUAUUAGGGAAGAACAAAUGUGCAAGUAACUAUGCACGUCUUGACGGUACCUAAUCAGAAAGCCACGGCUAACUACGUG